This 293-nucleotide ribosomal RNA is filed under the name uncultured eukaryote. RNAcentral's name for it is "partial 18S ribosomal RNA". It matches the Rfam family "Eukaryotic small subunit ribosomal RNA", at positions 6 to 298 of the family's 1831-position model. The record is from RNAcentral.
GGUUGAUCCUGCCAGUAGUCAUAUGCUUGUGUUAAAGAUUAAGCCAUGCAUGCCUUAGUAUAGGUGGAUAAAUAACCGAAACUGCGGAUGGCUCAAUAAAUCAGUCAUAAUUAAUUUGGUGAAGCAAGGAAUUAGAAGGAUAACCCUGUUAAUUGUAGAGCUAAUACAAGAAGAAGAUAUUCCUUUUAAAGGGAAUAGCAUUUAUCAGCUCAAUUUCUUUAAUACAUUUGUAUUGAAGGAAGGGGAAAAAGAAUAAUAAAAGUUUAUUUACAGGAGCUUGUGUAAUAAUCCAG